AGGAACAGUAAGAAAAAGUUGCUGAUUUUCAGAGGUCUUUUCAGCUUCAUAUUUCUGUGAUUAAAAAUGAGAAGGCAGAAGUGGAUAAUCAACCAGAAGAUGCUACUGAGUUUCAGGUACCUAUGUUCAACCAGCCAACCACAGUCUGGAAGCAGAUAAUCCUCAUUCUGACCCAUCAUCCAAAGGUCAAUAUUAAUCUAAUGCUGUCAUUCACCGACUUCAUCUCAUCCCAUGGGAAUGUGAUCACCUUACAUCAUCACGUUAAGAAGGCACAAUCUGUUCUGAUUAGGGAAAAAAUUAUUAACAAUGUUCCGUGGUGUCAUGCUUCACUGGAAUACAACACUGGAAACAAUAGAUGUGGGAAUCUUCUCUACUGGAGGAGAUAUUCUGUCUUCUUUUUACUGCUUUUGCUGGCCUAACACACUGCUCAUUAUUAAUGUCACACUUGGGAUCAUGGUGACCUCUCUACAACUCUUCCAGCAGAUGUAGCCAGACUAUGACAAAAACAAAAUAUCAAACACAAGAGUAUAAUUCUAUUUUGCAGACAAAACAGCUGGGUAUUAACUGCUUCAAAAGAUUGUGAGUAUUCGCUCCUUCAAAAGAAACCUCACCCUGAAAGAAAUGCCUACACGUGUUAUGAUUGGUGAAGUGGUAGUACUGCUUUAAAUGAGAUGAAUUCCUACUUGCAGCCUUUCUCCAAAACUUUCUCCACCAACUGCCUCGGGCCUGAAGCUUCCUCUUUGUUUUUUAUUCUCUCUCCAUUUGUUUUAUUUCUUGAAUUUCACUUCUGCAACCAAAAUUACCUUUUUGUCUUCUGGGGUUAGAAUUGAUUCACUUUUUCUCCCUUUCCAAGCAUGUUUCAUUAAAACACAAUGUUGAUAUACCUCCACGAGGGAAUAAAAUCUGUGCUCU
Molecule: long non-coding RNA, 912 nt
Organism: Suricata suricatta (meerkat)
Lineage: Eukaryota; Metazoa; Chordata; Mammalia; Carnivora; Herpestidae
Exons: 3
Source: RefSeq, a predicted model, not a curated record